CUUGAUCAGUAGGAAUACCCGCUGAACUAAGCAUUUAAUAAGCGGGGAAU
This 50-nucleotide ribosomal RNA is filed under the name Trichoderma inhamatum. RNAcentral describes it as "partial 28S ribosomal RNA". Lineage: Eukaryota; Fungi; Ascomycota; Sordariomycetes; Hypocreales; Hypocreaceae. The record is from RNAcentral.